Molecule: ribosomal RNA, 508 nt
Filed under: uncultured Glomus
Lineage: Eukaryota; Fungi; Glomeromycota; Glomeromycetes; Glomerales; Glomeraceae
Description: SSU rRNA
Rfam family: Eukaryotic small subunit ribosomal RNA
Source: RNAcentral
AGCAGCCGCGGUAAUUCCAGCUCCAAUAGCGUAUAUUAAAGUUGUUGCAGUUAAAAAGCUCGUAGUUGAAUUUCGGGGUUAGUAGGUUGGUCAUGCCUCUGGUAUGUACUGGUCUCACUGAUUCCUCCUUCCUGAUGAGCCGUAAUGCCAUUAAUUUGGUGUUGCGGGGAAUUUGGACUGUUACUUUGAAAAAAUUAGAGUGUUUAAAGCAAGCUAACGCUUGAAUACAUUAGCAUGGAAUAAUGAAAUAGGACGUUCGAUCCUAUUUUGUUGGUUUCUAGGAUUGACGUAAUGAUUAAUAGGGAUAGUUGGGGGCAUUAGUAUUCAAUUGUCAGAGGUGAAAUUCUUGGAUUUAUUGAAGACUAACUACUGCGAAAGCAUUUGCCAAGGAUGUUUUCAUUAAUCAAGAACGAAAGUUAGGGGAUCGAAGACGAUCAGAUACCGUCGUAGUCUUAACCACAAACUAUGCCGACUAGGGAUCGGAUGAUGUUAAUUUUUUAAUGACUCA